This 509-nucleotide ribosomal RNA is filed under the name Paenibacillaceae bacterium CL5.47. RNAcentral's name for it is "bacterial SSU rRNA". It matches the Rfam family "Bacterial small subunit ribosomal RNA", at positions 13 to 498 of the family's 1533-position model. Lineage: Bacteria; Bacillati; Bacillota; Bacilli; Caryophanales; Paenibacillaceae. The record is from RNAcentral.
UUGAUCCCUGGCUCAGGACGAACGCUGGCGGCAUGCCUAAUACAUGCAAGUCGAGCGGUUUUACUUUGGAAGCUUGCUUCCAAAGUAGGAUAGCGGCGGACGGGUGAGUAACACGUAGGCAACCUGCCCCUUAGACUGGGAUAACUACCGGAAACGGUAGCUAAUACCGGAUAAUCCCUUUCCUCUCCUGAGGAAAGGCUGAAAGAUGGAGCAAUCUAUCACUGAGGGAUGGGCCUGCGGCGCAUUAGCUAGUUGGUGAGGUAACGGCUCACCAAGGCGACGAUGCGUAGCCGACCUGAGAGGGUGAACGGCCACACUGGGACUGAGACACGGCCCAGACUCCUACGGGAGGCAGCAGUAGGGAAUCUUCCGCAAUGGGCGAAAGCCUGACGGAGCAAUGCCGCGUGAGUGAUGAAGGUUUUCGGAUCGUAAAGCUCUGUUGCCAGGGAAGAACGUCCGGUAGAGUAACUGCUACCGGAGUGACGGUACCUGAGAAGAAAGCCCCGGCU